RNAcentral lists this transfer RNA (86 nucleotides) under Staphylococcus pseudintermedius. Its description in RNAcentral is "tRNA-Leu". It matches the Rfam family "tRNA". From Rfam's summary of the family: Transfer RNA (tRNA) molecules are approximately 80 nucleotides in length. Their secondary structure includes four short double-helical elements and three loops (D, anti-codon, and T loops). The record is from RNAcentral. Lineage: Bacteria; Bacillati; Bacillota; Bacilli; Caryophanales; Staphylococcaceae.
GCGGUCGUGGUGGAAUGGCAGACGCGCUAGGUUGAGGGCCUAGUGGGAGAAAUCCCGUGGAGGUUCAAGUCCUCUCGGCCGCAUCA